This 513-nucleotide ribosomal RNA is filed under the name Cerochroa brachialis. RNAcentral's name for it is "partial 12S ribosomal RNA". The record is from RNAcentral. Lineage: Eukaryota; Metazoa; Arthropoda; Insecta; Coleoptera; Chrysomelidae.
GCGGUUAUACAAAUAAUAUAAUUUAAUUUUAUUAAUAAAAAUUAAAAUAAAUUGAAAUUUUAAAUUUAAAUUUUUUAAGUGAAAUUUUAAAUUUAAAUUAUAAUUUUUAUUUUUUAAUGAGGUUUAGAAAUUUAAUUUAUAAACUAGGAUUAGAUACCCUAUUAUUUUAAACGUAAUUAAUUAAAAUUAAUUUAGUAAAAGAUGUUCUUUAAAAAUAAAAAUUUUGGCGGUAUUUUAUUCUUUUCAGAGGAACCUGUUUUAUAAAUGAUAAUCCACGAUUUAAUUUAUUUUUAUUAUUAGUUUGUAUAUCAUCGUAAUUAAGUAUUUUUUUAGAAUUAUAAAUAUUUAGAAUUUUUAAUUAAAAAAUUAGUCAGAUCAAGGUGCAAUUUAUAUAAAAGUAGUAAUGGGUUACAAUAAAAGUAUUUUUGAAUAAUUUUUUUUAAAGAAAUUUGAAUUUGGAUUUGAGAGUAAAUUUAAUAAAUUAGUUAAAUUGAUUUUAGAUUUAAAAUAUGU